AAUGAACGCUGGCGGCAGGCCUAACACAUGCAAGUCGAACGGGCACUUCGGUGCUAGUGGCGGACGGGUGAGUAACGCGUGGGAACGUGCCCCUUGGUACGGAAUAGCCCCGGGAAACUGGGAGUAAUACCGUAUGUGGUCGAGAGACGAAAGAUUUAUCGCCAAGGGAUCGGCCCGCGUUGGAUUAGGUAGUUGGUGGGGUAAUGGCCUACCAAGCCGACGAUCCAUAGCUGGUUUGAGAGGAUGAUCAGCAACACUGGGACUGAGACACGGCCCAGACUCCUACGGGAGGCAGCAGUGGGGAAUCUUAGACAAUGGGGGAAACCCUGACCUAGCCAUGCCGCGUGAUCGAUGAAGGCCUUAGGGUUGUAAAGAUCUUUCAGGUGGGAAGAUAAUGACUGUACCACCAGAAGAAGCCCCGGCUAACUCCGUGCCAGCCGCCGCCGUAA
RNAcentral lists this ribosomal RNA (449 nucleotides) under uncultured bacterium. RNAcentral describes it as "partial 16S ribosomal RNA". It matches the Rfam family "Bacterial small subunit ribosomal RNA", at positions 29 to 523 of the family's 1533-position model. The record is from RNAcentral.